Molecule: ribosomal RNA, 397 nt
Filed under: uncultured bacterium
Lineage: Bacteria
Description: partial 16S ribosomal RNA
Rfam family: Bacterial small subunit ribosomal RNA
Source: RNAcentral
AUACGUAGGGGGCAAGCGUUGUCCGGAUUUAUUGGGCGUAAAGCGCUCGCAGGUGGUCCGAUGCGUCGUGCGUGAAAGACCCCGGCUCAACUGGGGGGCGUCGUGCGAUACGGUCGGACUGGAGGCCAGUAGGGGGAUGCGGAAUUCCGGGUGUAGUGGUGGAAUGCGUAGAGAUCCGGAGGAACACCAGCGGCGAAGGCGGCAUCCUGGCCUGUUCCUGACACUCAGGAGCGAAAGGGUGGGGAGCGAUCAGGAUGAGAUACCGGGGUAGUCCACGCCGUAAACGAUGAGCACUAGGUGUCGGGGGUAUCGACCCCCUCGGUGCCGCAGCUAACGCGAUAAGUGCUCCGCCUGGGGAGUACGGUCGCAAGGCUGAAACUCAAAUGAAUUGGCGGGG